AUGGCUCAGGAUGAACGCUAGCUACAGGCUAACACAUGCAAGUCGAGGGGCAGCAUGAUCUGUGCUUGCACAGAUUGAUGGCGACCGGCGCACGGGUGAGUAACGCGUAUCCAACCUUCCCCUUAGUAGGGCAUAGCCCGGCGAAAGUCGGAUUAAUACCCUAUGUUUUCCAAUGAGGACAUCUGAGCUGGAAUAAAGAUUCAUCGCUAAGGGAUGGGGAUGCGUCCGAUUAGGUUGUUGGCGGGGUAACGGCCCACCAAGCCCUCGAUCGGUAGGGGUUCUGAGAGGAAGGUCCCCCACACUGGUACUGAGACACGGACCAGACUCCUACGGGAGGCAGCAGUGAGGAAUAUUGGUCAAUGGGCGAGAGCCUGAACCAGCCAAAGUAGCGUGCAGGAUGACGGCCCUAUGGGUUGUAAACUGCUUUUAUACGGGGAUAAAGUGAGGGACGUGUCCCUUAUUGUAGGUACCGUAUGAAUAAGGACCGGCUAAUUCCGUGCCAGCCGCGGC
Molecule: ribosomal RNA, 510 nt
Filed under: uncultured bacterium
Lineage: Bacteria
Description: bacterial SSU rRNA
Rfam family: Bacterial small subunit ribosomal RNA
Source: RNAcentral